This 1398-nucleotide ribosomal RNA is filed under the name Staphylococcus aureus. Its description in RNAcentral is "bacterial SSU rRNA". It matches the Rfam family "Bacterial small subunit ribosomal RNA". Lineage: Bacteria; Bacillati; Bacillota; Bacilli; Caryophanales; Staphylococcaceae. The record is from RNAcentral.
CGGGAAACCGGAGCUAAUACCGGAUAAUAUUUUGAACCGCAUGGUUCAAAAGUGAAAGACGGUCUUGCUGUCACUUAUAGAUGGAUCCGCGCUGCAUUAGCUAGUUGGUAAGGUAACGGCUUACCAAGGCAACGAUGCAUAGCCGACCUGAGAGGGUGAUCGGCCACACUGGAACUGAGACACGGUCCAGACUCCUACGGGAGGCAGCAGUAGGGAAUCUUCCGCAAUGGGCGAAAGCCUGACGGAGCAACGCCGCGUGAGUGAUGAAGGUCUUCGGAUCGUAAAACUCUGUUAUUAGGGAAGAACAUAUGUGUAAGUAACUGUGCACAUCUUGACGGUACCUAAUCAGAAAGCCACGGCUAACUACGUGCCAGCAGCCGCGGUAAUACGUAGGUGGCAAGCGUUAUCCGGAAUUAUUGGGCGUAAAGCGCGCGUAGGCGGUUUUUUAAGUCUGAUGUGAAAGCCCACGGCUCAACCGUGGAGGGUCAUUGGAAACUGGAAAACUUGAGUGCAGAAGAGGAAAGUGGAAUUCCAUGUGUAGCGGUGAAAUGCGCAGAGAUAUGGAGGAACACCAGUGGCGAAGGCGACUUUCUGGUCUGUAACUGACGCUGAUGUGCGAAAGCGUGGGGAUCAAACAGGAUUAGAUACCCUGGUAGUCCACGCCGUAAACGAUGAGUGCUAAGUGUUAGGGGGUUUCCGCCCCUUAGUGCUGCAGCUAACGCAUUAAGCACUCCGCCUGGGGAGUACGACCGCAAGGUUGAAACUCAAAGGAAUUGACGGGGACCCGCACAAGCGGUGGAGCAUGUGGUUUAAUUCGAAGCAACGCGAAGAACCUUACCAAAUCUUGACAUCCUUUGACAACUCUAGAGAUAGAGCCUUCCCCUUCGGGGGACAAAGUGACAGGUGGUGCAUGGUUGUCGUCAGCUCGUGUCGUGAGAUGUUGGGUUAAGUCCCGCAACGAGCGCAACCCUUAAGCUUAGUUGCCAUCAUUAAGUUGGGCACUCUAAGUUGACUGCCGGUGACAAACCGGAGGAAGGUGGGGAUGACGUCAAAUCAUCAUGCCCCUUAUGAUUUGGGCUACACACGUGCUACAAUGGACAAUACAAAGGGCAGCGAAACCGCGAGGUCAAGCAAAUCCCAUAAAGUUGUUCUCAGUUCGGAUUGUAGUCUGCAACUCGACUACAUGAAGCUGGAAUCGCUAGUAAUCGUAGAUCAGCAUGCUACGGUGAAUACGUUCCCGGGUCUUGUACACACCGCCCGUCACACCACGAGAGUUUGUAACACCCGAAGCCGGUGGAGUAACCUUUUAGGAGCUAGCCGUCGAAGGUGGGACAAAUGAUUGGGGUGAAGUCGUAACAAGGUAGCCGUAUCGGAAGGUGCGGCUGGAUCACCUCCUUU